GGGGAUGUGCUUAUGAAGCUUAGUGUGACUAGCUAAUUAUUUCAAUUUGGUUAGUAUGAACAAUGGAGAAGGUUGACGUUGAUUUUCAUUUUAUGUAAUUUUAAAAUAAAAAAAAGUUGGGCCAAAUAGUUAUACCGAUAUUACUAAUUUGACCCAAGUUAAAUAGGCAAAACUGAGGUUAAGUAGGACCCCAUCAGCACCUCAUAUUUCCUCAAAAUUGAUGGAUCUCAUU
Molecule: long non-coding RNA, 232 nt
Filed under: Spirodela polyrhiza (greater duckweed)
Lineage: Eukaryota; Viridiplantae; Streptophyta; Magnoliopsida; Alismatales; Araceae
Description: long non-coding RNA (SPOL_LNC000732)
Source: RNAcentral